UACGAAGGGGGGCUAGCGUUGUUCAGAAUUACUGGGCGUAAAGCGUGCGCAGGCGGCUUCUCAAGUCAGGGGUGAAAGCCCAGAGCUCAACUCUGGAAUUGCCUUUGAGACUGAGUGGCUUGAGUACGAGAGAGGUGAGUGGAAUUCCCAGUGUAGAGGUGAAAUUCGUAGAUAUUGGGAAGAACACCGGUGGCGAAGGCGGCUCACUGGCUCGUAACUGACGCUCAUGCACGACAGCGUGGGGAUCAAACAGG
This 254-nucleotide ribosomal RNA is filed under the name uncultured bacterium. RNAcentral's name for it is "partial 16S ribosomal RNA". It matches the Rfam family "Bacterial small subunit ribosomal RNA", at positions 524 to 776 of the family's 1533-position model. The record is from RNAcentral.